CUUCCGUAGGUGAACCUGCGGAAGGAUCAUUACCGAGUGUAGGGUUCCUAGCGAGCCCAACCUCCCACCCGUUGUUUACUGUACCUUAGUUGCUUCGGCGGGCCCGCCAUUCAUGGCCGCCGGGGGCUCUCAGCCCCGGGCCCGCGCCCGCCGGAGACACCACGAACUCUGUCUGAUCUAGUGAAGUCUGAGUUGAUUGUAUCGCAAUCAGUUAAAACUUUCAACAAUGGAUCUCUUGGUUCCGGCAUCGAUGAAGAACGCAGCGAAAUGCGAUAACUAGUGUGAAUUGCAGAAUUCCGUGAAUCAUCGAGUCUUUGAACGCACAUUGCGCCCCCUGGUAUUCCGGGGGGCAUGCCUGUCCGAGCGUCAUUGCUGCCCAUCAAGCACGGCUUGUGUGUUGGGUCGUCGUCCCCUCUCCGGGGGGGACGGGCCCCAAAGGCAGCGGCGGCACCGCGUCCGAUCCUCGAGCGUAUGGGGCUUUGUCACCCGCUCUGUAGGCCCGGCCGGCGCUUGCCGAACGCAAAUCAAUCUUUUUCCAGGUUGACCUCGGAUCAGGUAGGGAUACCCGCUGAACUUAAGCAUAUCAAUAAGCGGAGGA
RNAcentral lists this ribosomal RNA (598 nucleotides) under Aspergillus sp. BAB-5558. Its description in RNAcentral is "eukaryotic LSU rRNA". The stretch from base 216 to 369 matches the Rfam family "5.8S ribosomal RNA". The record is from RNAcentral. Lineage: Eukaryota; Fungi; Ascomycota; Eurotiomycetes; Eurotiales; Aspergillaceae.